CCAUUGAUCUUUGAUGUUACUAUGUUGUAGCUUCUCUAUCAGCACUUGCUGCCUCACCUUGCACUUUUAUGUUCUAGAGACAGCUUCUUUCUUAAACCUCAUGAGCCAACCCCAGCUAAUUUCAGACUUUUCCUCUGCAGCUUCCUCACCUCUCUCAGCUUUCGUAGAAUUGAAGAGAGUUAGGGCCUUGUUCUGGAUUUAGGCUUUGGCUUAAAUGUUGUGGCUGGUUUGAUCUUCCAUCUAUAGCAUUAAGAUUUUCUCCAUAGGAGUAAUAAUGCUGUUUUGCUUUCUUAUCAUUUGUGUAUUCACUGAGUAGCACUUAUUUUUAUUUUUAAGCAUCAGAGGUCAUCACACUGGAUGGAGUAGCACAUUAACUUCCUUUAAAAACUUUUCCUUUGUGUUUAUAAUGUGGCUGUUUGGUGUAAGAGGUCUAGCUUUCAGCCUGUCUCCUAUGUUGGCAUUCGGCAUGGCGUCCUCACUAAGUUUAAUCAAUCAUUUUGGGCUUUGAUUUAAAAUGAGAGAUGUGCAACUCUUCCUUUCACUUAAACAGAGGCCACUGUAGGGUUAUUAAUUCACCUAAUUUCAAUAUUGUUGUGUCUCAGGAGAGGACUGAGGAGAGGGAGAUGGGGAACAGCUGGUCGGUGUAGUAGUCAGAACAUAGACAUUUGCUGAUAAAAUUCACUGUCUUCUAUGGGUACAGUUGGUGGCGCCCCAAAACAAUUACAAUAGUAACAUCAAAGAUAUUUAUCAUAGAUCACCAUAACAGAUAUAAUAAUGAUGAAAAAGUUUGAAAUAUUGCAAGAAUUACCAAAAUGUGACACAGACACAAAUUGAGCACAUGCUGUUGGAAAAAUGGUGCUGAAAAACUUGCUUGAUGCAGAGUUGCCACAAACCUUCAAUCUGCAAAAAAUGCAAUGUCUGCAAAGUGCAAUGGAGUGAAAUGCAGUAAAAUGAGGUAUGCCUGUAUUUGAAAUGAUGAAUUAUGAAAAAUAUUAAAAUAACUUGUAAUAUUAGGAAAGUACAGAGGAAAGUUUAAAACUUUCUGCUUAAUUCAGCAAGACUUAAAAAAAGUGAAAGUUUAUAACUUGUCAUUUGAUCAUACUUUUUUGCUGAUUCCUGGAUUCAUAUGGUUCAAAAUCCAAAAGGUUCCUGAGGGUCCCUUCUCUCACUGCUCCCACCCACCCGUUCCUCUCCCUGGAGCAGCAGUGUGUCCUGUUUCUUGGGUAUCCUUUCAGAAAAAUGUACUUUUACUGCUAACUUUAAUGCUUGUUUCUUUUACAACAGGACCUUAUGGAUUUUCUGAACCCAAACGGUAGUGACUGUACUCUAGUCCUGUUUUACACCCCGUGGUGCCGCUUUUCUGCCAGUUUGGCCCCUCACUUUAACUCUCUGCCCCGGGCAUUUCCAGCUCUUCACUUUUUGGCACUGGAUGCAUCUCAACACAGCAGCCUUUCUACCAGGUUUGGCACCGUAGCUGUUCCUAAUAUUUUAUUAUUUCAAGGAGCUAAACCAAUGGCUAGAUUUAAUCAUACAGAUCGAACACUGGAAACACUGAAAAUCUUCAUUUUUAAUCAGACAGGUAUAGAAGCCAAGAAGAAUGUGGUGGUAACUCAAGCCGACCAAAUAGGUCCUCUUCCCAGCACUUUGAUAAAAAGUGUGGACUGGUUGCUUGUAUUUUCCUUAUUCUUUUUAAUUAGUUUUAUUAUGUAUGCUACCAUUCGAACUGAGAGUAUUCGGUGGUUAAUUCCAGGACAGGAGCAGGAACAUGUGGAGUAGUGAUGGACUGAAAGAAGCUGGAAAGAGGAACUUCAAUCCUUUGUUUCAGAAAUUAGUGCUACAGUUUCAUACAUUUUCUCCAGUGACGUGUUGACUUGAAACUUCAGAUUAAAAGAAUCAUUUGUUGAACAACUGAAUGUAUAAAAAAAUUAUAAACUGGUGUUUUAACUAGUAUUGCAAUAAGCAAAUGCAAAAAUAUUCCAUAGAGUGC
This 1987-nucleotide small RNA is filed under the name Pongo abelii (Sumatran orangutan). RNAcentral describes it as "retained intron". The record is from RNAcentral. Lineage: Eukaryota; Metazoa; Chordata; Mammalia; Primates; Hominidae.